Molecule: long non-coding RNA, 723 nt
Filed under: Nicotiana tabacum (common tobacco)
Lineage: Eukaryota; Viridiplantae; Streptophyta; Magnoliopsida; Solanales; Solanaceae
Description: long non-coding RNA (NTAB_LNC001184)
Source: RNAcentral
UCUUUUACAAGAUUGUCAAAUUCUUGUAUUCCACUAUUAUUAUUAUAUUGCUCGUCAUCUUCUUCUUCUUCAUCAACUAGGGACAAAGUAGCUGCCUCUUUUCCCUUCCUCUGAAUAAAGGAUAUAAAAAUUGGGCAAUAAGAACUAAGAAUUGGGGCAGAAAUUGGGGGCAGAAACUGGAAAAAUUGGGCAGAAAUUUUCUGAGAAAGAACCGAAGGUAAAAAAAAUAUUUGCCAGCAUUUCGCCGCUUUUUGUACGUUUAGAAAGAAAAAGAACAACAAGAAGAAGAAGACUGAAAAUCAAAAGUAGUAGAAGAAGAAGAAGACAGAACAUACCUGUACUGUUGAAGUCUUGAAUAAGAAGAAGAACAGCCCUUGAUGCUUUGAGAUAAUUUCAGAAAUCCGAAGUUGAUAAAGAAGAGAAGAAGAAAUCGCUGCUCUUGUUGAAGAAAAGCCCUAGUCUCGUUGUUGUUGAAGACUCCAGAUAGCGUUUAUAUUUUACAAACUCGUUUUUAAAAAAAAUAGGGCUUGGGUUAAUUUUAAACACGGAAGUGUACGCUUCUCUCACUUCACCGCUUCUCGCUUUUUUACAGAGAAGCGGUCGCUUUUUCGUACCAGAGUCGCUUCAAAGAGCAGAAGCGCUGCCAUUCCUGCCUUGCUUCGCUUCUCGCUUAAAGCGAUGAAGCGAAUGCUUUUUUAAUCACUGGUUUGACAGUUUCAGGAU